AUGGCCUCGAGUGAGCUGCCGCCGUCCAAGAAAAAAUCCGCACGACCCGCUCCCACCACCAUAAGCUCCCUCAGCGAUGACCUCCUGUGCGAGGUGUUCCUCCGCCUAGCCUCCCUCCGGAGCCUCGUCCGCGCCGCCCUCACCUGCCGCGCCUUCCUCAGCGCCGUAUGUUCGUCCCCCGCGUUCCGCCGCCGCUUCCGUGAUCUUCACUCGGCCCCGCUCCUGGGCGUGUUCCUCGACACGCCCGGCUUCAGGCCCAUUUGUCGCCAAUAUGAUCUGGACCAUGCCGCGGCCGUCCAAGGCGCCGAUGUCUUCCUCGCCCGUGUCCCCGACCUUGAAGACAAAGACGAAGUCGAAGGCGACGGCCCGUUGUGGCCGAUGACCGAGUGUCGUGAUGGGUACGUUCUACGUUGUUCUCGUCAACCGGCGAACCAAGCGGGCGGCCGUGUACCACCCCAUACACGGGCCCUGAACCUCAUCCCGGAUUCCCGGCGCCGCCCAAAGAGGUCUGCGACCCGGAAGAUGCCGAAGUCGAGUUCCACGUGGUCACCUGCGAAGAGGACCGACGGUCGUUCCGUGUCGUCCUCGUCAGCGGCAGCGACGGAAGUAGGGCAGAGCGGGUCGCCGUCUUCUCGCCGGACAGCAGGGAGUGGCAGAUCGCCGCAGAAGCGGGGAGCCCGCAGCUGCAGGUUGAAGACAAUGGCACGCUAG
Molecule: ribosomal RNA, 711 nt
Filed under: Triticum aestivum (bread wheat)
Lineage: Eukaryota; Viridiplantae; Streptophyta; Magnoliopsida; Poales; Poaceae
Description: partial small subunit ribosomal RNA
Source: RNAcentral